UCUAUGCAUGGUGGUGCAUGGCCGUUCUUAGUUGGUGGAAUGAUCUGUCAGGUUAAUUCCGAUAACGAACGAGACCCCAGCCAUCUAACUAGCUGUUACUACUUCGGUAGUGUUUGCGCAAGCAUAAACAGCUUCUUAGAGGGACUAUCUGUGUCAGCAGGUGGAAGUUUGGGGCAAUAACAGGUCAGUGAUGCCCUUAGAUGCUCUGGGCUGCACGCGCGCUACAAUGGUGCAUUCAGCGAGUUUAACCUUGCUUGAAAAAGCUGGGUAAUCUUUAAAAUGCAUCUCAGUUGGGAUAGAUGAUUGCAAUUAUUCAUCUUGAACAAGGAAUAUCUAGUAAACGCAAGUCAUCAACUUGCAUUGAUUACGUCCCUGCCCUUUGUACACACCGCCCGUCGCUCCUACCGAUUGAAUAAUCCGGUGAAUUGAGUGGGUUGGGGCACGUGUCUCAGCUUCGGUUGAGAUCAGUGCCCCAAGAAGCUCUGUGAACCUUAUUAUUUAGAGGAAGGAGAAGUCGUAACAAGGUUUCCGUAGGUGAACCUGCG
Molecule: small RNA, 545 nt
Filed under: uncultured Haplosporidia
Lineage: Eukaryota; Endomyxa; Ascetosporea; Haplosporida
Description: SSU rRNA
Rfam family: Eukaryotic small subunit ribosomal RNA
Source: RNAcentral